GGAUUAGUACGUUCUAACUCCAACCCAUGUGACUUACCAUUGUUGCCUCGGCAGAAGCUGCUCGGUGCACCCUACCUUGGAACGGCCUACCCUGUAGCGCCUUACCCUGGAACGGCUUACCCUGUAACGGCUGCCGGUGGACUACCAAACUCUUGUUAUUUUAUUGUAAUCUGAGCGUCUUAUUUUAAUAAGUCAAAACUUUCAACAACGGAUCUCUUGGUUCUGGCAUCGAUGAAGAACGCAGCGAAAUGCGAUAAGUAAUGUGAAUUGCAGAAUUCAGUGAAUCAUCGAAUCUUUGAACGCACAUUGCGCCCAUUAGUAUUCUAGUGGGCAUGCCUGUUCGAGCGUCAUUUCAACCCUUAAGCCUAGCUUAGUGUUGGGAGCCUACUGCUUUUGCUAGCUGUAGCUCCUGAAAUACAACGGCGGAUCUGCGAUAUCCUCUGAGCGUAGUAAAUUUUUAUCUCGCUUUUGACUGGAGUUGCAGCGUCUUUGGCCGCUAAAUCCCCCAAUUUUUAAUGGUUGACCUCGGAUCAGGUAGGAAUACCCGCUGAACUUAAGCAUAUCAAUAGCGGAGGAAUUCCUCUUUGGAGUUUACAAAAUUCCACCAUGACAAUUUCAUUGUUGCUCGCAGAAACUGCUCAGUGCACCCUACUUGGAACGGCCUACCUGUACGCCUUAACUUGGACGGCUUACCUGUAACGGCUGCGGUGGUCUACUAAUCUUGUUUAUUUUAUUGUUAUCUGAGGUGCUUAUUUUAAUAAGUCAAACUUUCACGUAUCUGGUUUCGACCUCAGAACCA
Molecule: ribosomal RNA, 799 nt
Filed under: fungal endophyte sp. 2714
Lineage: Eukaryota; Fungi
Description: eukaryotic LSU rRNA
Rfam family: 5.8S ribosomal RNA (bases 197-350)
Source: RNAcentral